Molecule: transfer-messenger RNA, 413 nt
Filed under: Candidatus Omnitrophota bacterium
Lineage: Bacteria; Pseudomonadati; Candidatus Omnitrophota
Rfam family: transfer-messenger RNA
About the family: Bacterial tmRNA, also known as 10Sa RNA or SsrA, is named for its dual tRNA and mRNA-like properties. Its role is to liberate the mRNA from a stalled ribosome.
Source: RNAcentral
GGGGGUGAACAGGUCUCGACUUAGGUAAGCCGGGUAAAAGCAGCAUGCCGCGGACGCAGGGUUGGCCGCGUUAACAAUCCUUGCAAAACAUAAACGCAAGAGAGAACUUACGUUCACUCGUAGCAGACAGAUAUGCGGCUGUAAAGCCGAUAAUGCCUGCUAUGGCGUUAAGUCCAGUCGGCCUUUAAGCUGACAGGCCUCUCUUCAGGCUGCCUGUGGCCUGAAUGAGAGCGACUAACAGGCUGGCUUCGGCAGUUAGUCUUUGAAACCGAAGCGAGACUUUUAAAAGGCUGCGGCUUACGCAAUCCUGAUUGCCGGAGUGCGCAAGUUCAAAGUUAAAAGACAACCUAAGCAUGUAGCGGCUUUUAUUCGAUUAUCUAAGGACAGCGGUUCGAUUCCGCUCACCUCCACCA